Meleagris gallopavo (turkey) is the source of this 864-nucleotide non-coding RNA. The record is from RefSeq and is a predicted model, not a curated record. Lineage: Eukaryota; Metazoa; Chordata; Aves; Galliformes; Phasianidae.
AUGUGACAAAAAGCCUCCAGUUACACUCUUGAACCAUGCUGCUGUGAACCUUCUGUCAGACUUCCCUGGUUCUUCUAAAGCAAUAUUGGGUGAGCUGGUGUAAAGAGACCACUUUUAUUUCAGUCCUCAAUCCUACUUAUUAAAUAGAGCAGGUGUUGCAGAACCUGAUUUCAAAGUACUGCGCUGAUGUAAGCAAAUACUAUGUUCUCUCCAGCAUACCACUGCAGUGGGGUCCAAGUGAACAGCUGUGUGGUGCUUAGCUGCCUGCCAGGUCAAACUGUGAGACUGACUUAAAAGAAAAUCUGAAGAUCCAUCAUGGUGAAGGGGAGAACUGUAAAUCUUUUAGGAGUGAACUGCAUCAACGUAAGGAAGGCUAACCCUAACCCUGACCCUAAUCCUAAACCAACCAUUCCAUGGCCAUCAAAUUCAUCUGAAAAGGAAUGAUUCUUCCUCUCCCUGUCUGGUAGCUACUCAUUGUAUCCAUACAGGGUUAAUACUCCAGGCAUACCCAUGUCCAUCACAUUGCUGCUAAUCAGGAGCAAUGUGGUUAGUGAGACCCAUAGGAUAGAUAUAAGGAAAAGCUCAACCUUUUCCUGAAAUCUAUGGAAAUGCCCCACUGGCUUAAGAUCAAGACCUCGGAGUUGGUGACAUCCACAUUUUAAGAGUUUUUUCUCUCUUAAUGAAUUUUGGUACCAUAGAGGAAACAGUCAGCACUUCAGAGCACAGUGGACUGGUGAAAUUGUGCUUCUCAAGGCACUUGUGGAUAAUACAUUCACUGCAGGGCCCUGCUGCUUCCAUCUGAGGGUGUAGGACCCCACACACACACUUCUGUACCUGCAGUCAGCACUCAGAAUCCCAUCAGAC